RNAcentral lists this ribosomal RNA (531 nucleotides) under uncultured bacterium. RNAcentral's name for it is "bacterial SSU rRNA". It matches the Rfam family "Bacterial small subunit ribosomal RNA", at positions 355 to 902 of the family's 1533-position model. The record is from RNAcentral.
UGGGGAAUAUUGCACAAUGGGCGCAAGCCUGAUGCAGCAAUGCCGCGUGAGUGAAGACGGCCUUAGGGUUGUAAAACUCUUUCGCUAGGGAAGAUAAUGACGGUACCUAGUAAAGAAGUCCCGGCUAACUCCGUGCCAGCAGCCGCGGUAAUACGGAGGGGGUUAGCGUUGUUCGGAAUUACUGGGCGUAAAGCGCACGUAGGCGGACCAGAAAGUUGGGGGUGAAAUCCCGGGGGCUCAACCCCGGAACUGCCUCCAAAACUAUUGGUCUAGAGUUCGAGAGAGGUGAGUGGAAUUCCAAGUGUAGAGGUGAAAUUCGUAGAUAUUUGGAGGAACACCAGUGGCGAAGGCGGCUCACUGGCUCGAUACUGACGCUGAGGUGCGAAAGUGUGGGGAGCAAACAGGAUUAGAUACCCUGGUAGUCCACACCGUAAAACGAUGAAUGCCAGUCGUCGGGUAGCAUGCUAUUCGGUGACACACCUAACGGAUUAAGCAUUCCGCCUGGGGAGUACGGUCGCAAGAUUAAAACUC